AUUGAACGCUGGCGGCAUGCCUUACACAUGCAAGUCGAACGGCAGCACGGGUGCUUGCACCUGGUGGCGAGUGGCGAACGGGUGAGUAAUACAUCGGAACAUGUCCUGUAGUGGGGAAAAGCCCGGGGAAGGCGGAAUAAAAACGCCAACGGACCACGGGUGAAAACCGGGGGCCCUCGGGCCCCGGCGCAAAGGGGUGGGCGGAUGGCUUAUUAGCUAGUGGGUGGGGUAAGGGCCUACAAAGGCGACGAUCAGUAGCUGGUCUGAGAGGACGACCAGCCACACUGGGACUGAGACACGGCCCAGACUCCUACGGGAGGCAGCAGUGGGGAAUUUUGGACAAUGGGCGAAAGCCUGAUCCAGCAAUGCCGCGUGUGUGAAGAAGGCCUUCGGGUUGUAAAGCACUUUUGUCCGGAAAGAAAUCCUUGGCCCUAAUACGGUCGGGGGAUGACGGUACCGGAAGAAUAAGCACCGGCUAACUACGUG
Molecule: ribosomal RNA, 486 nt
Filed under: uncultured bacterium
Lineage: Bacteria
Description: partial 16S ribosomal RNA
Rfam family: Bacterial small subunit ribosomal RNA
Source: RNAcentral